This 303-nucleotide ribosomal RNA is filed under the name uncultured bacterium. RNAcentral's name for it is "bacterial SSU rRNA". It matches the Rfam family "Bacterial small subunit ribosomal RNA", at positions 355 to 656 of the family's 1533-position model. The record is from RNAcentral.
UGAGGAAUAUUGGUCAAUGGGCGCGAGCCUGAACCAGCCAAGUCGCGUGAGGGAAGACUGCCCUAUGGGUUGUAAACCUCUUUUAUUCGGGAAGAAUAAGCCUUACGAGUAGGGUGAUGCCUGUACCGAAUGAAUAAGCAUCGGCUAACUCCGUGCCAGCAGCCGCGGUAAUACGGAGGAUGCGAGCGUUAUCCGGAUUUAUUGGGUUUAAAGGGUGCGUAGGCGGCCUGUUAAGUUAGUGGUUAAAUGUCGGGGCUAAACCCCGGAUUGCCAUUAAAACUGGCGGGCUCGAGUACAGACGAG